UACGUAGGGUGCAAGCGUUAUCCGGAAUUAUUGGGCGUAAAGAGCUCGUAGGCGGUUUGUCGCGUCUGCUGUGAAAACCCGAGGCUCAACCUCGGGCCUGCAGUGGGUACGGGGCAGACUAGAGUGCGGUAGGGGAGAUUGGAAUUCCUGGUGUAGCGGUGGAAUGCGCAGAUAUCAGGAGGAACACCAAUGGCGAAGGCAGAUCUCUGGGCCGUAACUGACGCUGAGGAGCGAAAGCAUGGGGAGCGAACAGG
Molecule: ribosomal RNA, 254 nt
Filed under: uncultured bacterium
Lineage: Bacteria
Description: partial 16S ribosomal RNA
Rfam family: Bacterial small subunit ribosomal RNA
Source: RNAcentral